Molecule: ribosomal RNA, 441 nt
Filed under: uncultured bacterium
Lineage: Bacteria
Description: partial 16S ribosomal RNA
Rfam family: Bacterial small subunit ribosomal RNA
Source: RNAcentral
CCUACGGGAGGCAGCAGUGGGGGAUAUUGCACAAUGGGGGGAACCCUGAUGCAGCGACGCCGCGUGGGUGAAGGAGUGCUUCGGCAUGUAAAGCCCUAUCGGCAGGGAAGAAGCAAGACGGUACCUGACUAAGAAGCCCCGGCUAACUACGUGCCAGCAGCCGCGGUAAUACGUAGGGGGCGAGCGUUAGCCGGAUUCACUGGGUGUAAAGGGAGCGUAGACGGCCAUGCAAGCCAGGGGUGAAAGCCCGGGGCCCAACCCCGGGACUGCCCUUGGAACUGUGCGGCUAGAGUGCGGGAGGGGCAGGCGGAAUUCCUGGUGUAGCGGUGAAAUGCGUAGAUAUCAGGAGGAACACCGGCGGCGAAGGCGGCCUGCUGGACUGCGACUGACGUUGAGGCUCGAAAGCGUGGGGAGCGAACAGGAUUAGAUACCCCUGUAGUC